RNAcentral lists this long non-coding RNA (1075 nucleotides) under Daphnia magna. RNAcentral describes it as "uncharacterized LOC116918084". The record is from RNAcentral. Lineage: Eukaryota; Metazoa; Arthropoda; Branchiopoda; Diplostraca; Daphniidae.
UAAGACCGAGCAUCGCCCACUGGAUUUCUCUCAGCCUUCUGCAGGUGAUAUCGGCCUUUAAUUUGUAGUCUGUAGAAUGAUCUACGAAAAGUUCGGUGUGUACCUACUGUUACGAAAUGUCAAAUAAAUAUUGUAUUAGUUGUAAAAUUGACCGCUUGAAUGCGCGGGCAUGCGCUCAGCGCAAAUAUUAUUCCCUACCUUGACCUGUUUGGCCCCUCCCAUGACCUCCCCUGCCCUUUCUGCAUUGUAUAAAAGGCGCCCCCCUGCAGUUUUGGCGCCAGUUGCCGUUGGAGAGUUGCCAGUGAUAGAGCGACGACUGGAAUAGCCUAUGUUUUGGUAAUUAGUGCUGUGCCAGUGUUGCGGCAAUACAAAUUUUGUUAUUCGUACUUGUUUUUCGUUGUGCUUCAUUACAUUUGGUGUCAGAAGUGGGAUCUGACGAAGAAAAGCUGUUCACCACGUGCCGUCGAGACGAUUCAACUUCAAUUUCAACAUGGAAAAAAGACUGGUGAGCAAUCACGGAGUAGGAGGGAAAGAGAAAAAGAAGAGGAAGCUAUCAGAAGGACAAAAGAGACGGCGCAAUCGCUAUAAUUACGAAAAAGAAAGAAAAAAACGUGAAGCCGCCGCAACCGCCGCAUUGACCUCUUCAAUUCCAGACGCUCCUGAGAGGGCUGUAGUUUUCACGUCUGCCGAUAUCCCGCUUCGUCCCGUCGCAACUGUUGGCCCGUCCGUCUCCCUCAACCCACCAGUAUCAGCUAGACCGCAUGCAAUUCCAGACAGCCAGAGAAGAUGUUGCGAAAACUGCCGAUCAAACAAUUUUCCGAGUGAAGAAGAAAGAGCCCGUAGAUUCGUGCAGCGAAGAAAAGAACAGGAAGAGGAAGAAGAAAUAGAGAGAAUGCGAAUGGAGAUUCAGUUUGUUGAUUGAUGUAUCUUCAUAAUUAUACCAGUUUGAAGCAAGUUAAAGAAAAAAGAGUUAAUACAAAGAAAGCCUCGUUGUCAUAAUCGACACGUCUUGUGUCUUAAAUAAACCAGUUACAGUGUAACUUAUCUCGUGGCCUAAUAAACCAGUUAUAAUGUA